RNAcentral lists this ribosomal RNA (454 nucleotides) under uncultured bacterium. RNAcentral's name for it is "bacterial SSU rRNA". It matches the Rfam family "Bacterial small subunit ribosomal RNA", at positions 34 to 507 of the family's 1533-position model. The record is from RNAcentral.
CGCUGGCGGCGUGCCUAACACAUGCAAGUCGAACGGGGUGAUGACUUCGGUUAUCACUUAGUGGCGAACGGGUGAGUAACGCGUGAGGAACCUGCCUCUCAGUGGGGGACAACAGUUGGAAACGACUGCUAAUACCGCAUGAUACUACUGGGCCGCAUGGUCUGGUAGUCAAAGAUUUAUUGCUGAAAGAUGGCCUCGCGUCUGAUUAGCUAGUUGGUGGGGUAACGGCCCACCAAGGCGACGAUCAGUAGCCGACCUGAGAGGGUGAUCGGCCACAUUGGGACUGAGACACGGCCCAAACUCCUACGGGAGGCAGCAGUGGGGAAUAUUGCACAAUGGGGGAAACCCUGAUGCAGCAACGCCGCGUGAAGGAUGAAGGUUUUCGGAUUGUAGACUUUUGUCUUUAGGGAAGAUAAUGACGGUACCUAAGGAGGAAGCUCCGGCUAACUACGUG